GAUGAACGCUGGCGGCGUGCCUAAUACGUGCAAGUCGAGCGAACGGACGAGAAGCUUGCUUCUCUGAUGUUAGCGGCGGACGGGUGAGUAACACGUGGAUAACCUACAUAUAAGACUGGGAUAACUUCGGGAAACCGUAGCUAAUACCGGAUAAUAUUUUGAACCGCAUGGUUCAAAAGUGAAAGACGGUCUUGCUGUCACUUAUAGAUGGAUCCGCGCUGCAUUAGCUAGUUGGUAAGGUAACGGCUUACCAAGGCAACGAUGCAUAGCCGACCUGAGAGGGUGAUCGGCCACACUGGAACUGAGACACGGUCCAGACUCCUACGGGAGGCAGCAGUAGGGAAUCUUCCGCAAUGGGCGAAAGCCUGACGGAGCAACGCCGCGUGAGUGAUGAAGGUCUUCGGAUCGUAAAACUCUGUUAUUAGGGAAGAACAUAUGUGUAAGUAACUGUGCACAUCUUGACGGUACCUAAUCAGAAAGCCACGGCUAACUACGUG
RNAcentral lists this ribosomal RNA (497 nucleotides) under uncultured bacterium. RNAcentral describes it as "partial 16S ribosomal RNA". It matches the Rfam family "Bacterial small subunit ribosomal RNA", at positions 28 to 507 of the family's 1533-position model. The record is from RNAcentral.